RNAcentral lists this ribosomal RNA (753 nucleotides) under uncultured Lachnospiraceae bacterium. RNAcentral's name for it is "bacterial SSU rRNA". It matches the Rfam family "Bacterial small subunit ribosomal RNA", at positions 28 to 776 of the family's 1533-position model. Lineage: Bacteria; Bacillati; Bacillota; Clostridia; Lachnospirales; Lachnospiraceae. The record is from RNAcentral.
AUUGAACGCUGGCGGCAUGCCUUACACAUGCAAGUCGAACGGCAGCACGGGAGCAAUCCUGGUGGCGAGUGGCGAACGGGUGAGUAAUACAUCGGAACGUGCCCAAUCGUGGGGGAUAACGCAGCGAAAGCUGUGCUAAUACCGCAUACGAUCUACGGAUGAAAGCAGGGGAUCGCAAGACCUUGCGCGAAUGGAGCGGCCGAUGGCAGAUUAGGUAGUUGGUGAGGUAAAGGCUCACCAAGCCGUCGAUCUGUAGCUGGUCUGAGAGGACGACCAGCCACACUGGGACUGAGACACGGCCCAGACUCCUACGGGGGGCAGCAGUGGGGAAUAUUGCGCAAUGGGGGGAACCCUGACGCAGCCAUGCCGCGUGAAUGAAGAAGGCCUUAGGGUUGUAAAGUUCUUUCGGUAUUGAGGAAGGUUGAUGUGUUAAUAGCACAUCAAAUUGACGUUAAAUACAGAAGAAGCACCGGCUAACUCCGUGCCAGCAGCCGCGGUAAUACGGAGGGUGCGAGCGUUAAUCGGAAUAACUGGGCGUAAAGGGCACGCAGGCGGUUAUUUAAGUGAGGUGUGAAAGCCCCGGGCUUAACCUGGGAAUUGCAUUUCAGACUGGGAGUCUAGAGUACUUUAGGGAGGGGUAGAAUUCCACGUGUAGCGGUGAAAUGCGUAGAGAUGUGGAGGAAUACCGAAGGCGAAGGCAGCCCUUUGGGAAUGUACUGACGCUCAUGUGCGAAAGCGUGGGGAGCAAACAGG